This 65-nucleotide transfer RNA is filed under the name Sciara ruficauda. RNAcentral describes it as "tRNA-Ala". It matches the Rfam family "tRNA". From Rfam's summary of the family: Transfer RNA (tRNA) molecules are approximately 80 nucleotides in length. Their secondary structure includes four short double-helical elements and three loops (D, anti-codon, and T loops). Further hydrogen bonds mediate the characteristic L-shaped molecular structure. tRNAs have two regions of fundamental functional importance: the anti-codon, which is responsible for specific mRNA codon recognition, and the 3' end, to which the tRNAs corresponding amino acid is attached (by aminoacyl-tRNA synthetases). tRNAs cope with the degeneracy of the genetic code in two manners: having more than one tRNA (with a specific anti-codon) for a particular amino acid; and 'wobble' base-pairing, i.e. permitting non-standard base-pairing at the 3rd anti-codon position. The record is from RNAcentral. Lineage: Eukaryota; Metazoa; Arthropoda; Insecta; Diptera; Sciaridae.
GAGAAAAUAGUUAAAAAUAACAUUUAAUUUGCAAUUAAAAAGUAUUGAUUACUCAAUUUUUCUUA